CCUAGAUCGUUCCCUGUCCCCAGCAUCCCUUAUUCCUCUCGAGCCUAUAGGCCCCCUCGCCGGCCGCCUCCCCUCGACCUACCCUGCAUCCCGGAGCGCGCCCCUCACCGCUCGCCUGAGAUCCUCCGUCCCGGCACGCCGCCCCUCACCAGUCACCACUCUCCUGCGACCCUCCAUCCCGGCGCACCGUCCCUCGUCACCACUCCCCUGAUACCCUGCAUCCCGGCGCGCCGCCCCUCGUCAUCGCUCGCCUGCGACCAACUGCGUCUACUACCUCCGCACGGGGGCCUGCGGCUAUGGGAAGAGCUGCAGCUACAACCACCCUCGCGAUCGCGCCGCCGCGGUGAGCCGGGCCGCUUCUCUUGUCCCAAUUUUGUUGCCCCCAUCAUGCUCUGCUUCACUUCAAUCUAGUUGGGGAUUGGUACUUACGACUUGCCAAUCCCUGAUAAUGAACGACAGACUGAAUUACAGCUGGUUGGUGUGGAGGGGAGCUUCCAGCUAAAGCCUCUUUCUGUGAUUGAAUUGAUUCUAGUUGUGGCUUAGGAGCUUGUCACCAGUCCAUGGAAGUGAACUUGAUUGUGCAGUCGUUGGUUCCUGUUGUUGAUUAUGUGAUUGACUGAUUGUAUAAUAGGGCUUGUUGUCUUAUUCUCGUGGUUGAUGUUGAUUAUUCAAAGUUCCACUUUCUGCUUACGGUGCCACUUGCUUAUGUUGUAGGCCUGAUCAUUCACACCGUCAUAUGGUCAUAUUUGUUUCCGAGACUUCAGAGCAGGUUACAAUAUCAAUUUUCUCUACUAAGUAAUAAUUACCUCCACUCGGUGCAGAGAAAUGCAAUGGCACUCAAGCACUGAAUAUGUUGCAAUGGACAUGACCCCAAAACUUUCUCCCUCUCUUUUAUUUGAGUCACAAUUCAGUAUUUUUUUUUACAUAUUUCAUUCGCUUAAAAGACCAUUUAGAUCUUUGUGUUCUCUGCUACUACAAACUGAGGAGCAACUUGACAGCUUUAUGCAGCUCGGUCAACUAGGCCGCUGGGACGCUGGGGGAGAAGGACAUCGGUGCAGAGCAUGGCAAAGCCGAGUACUUGUUGGAUCUGAGGGCUUCUGAUCCACAGUUCUCCGCAUGAUCAUCCAUCAGCAUCUAGUGACAUUAACACUCAGCCGCAUAAGGCUUUCUCCCCACUAUAGUUGGAGUUCAAGAGCGUAAGGAAGGUAAUCUGUUGAUCAAUUACUGUUGCUUGUCACAAAACUCUGAAAAAUAUUACUGAGUACAUCUACAACGAGCUAUGCUUGCCAUUUAAAAAUAUGCUUAUGUGAGCUGUGUGUCAUAUCAAUUUUUUUAUGCAAGAAGAUCUUGCGAUUUACUUAUGAUUUAUGAACAGAAAUUGUUUACUGCGUAACCCCUAAAUACAGUAGAAGAGAAACAAAUCUUAUAAAACUAUGCUGAGACGAGUAGUACUUAUUUAGUCAAGUGACAUGUUAGAUAAAAUUCCACACCUAUUACAACUUAUCUGACUUCUGUAUUUUUUAAUGAUAGCUGAACUAGAUUGUGUUCCAGGAAUACAAAAUCAUGGAUGUUUUCCAUUUAUUCACUUGGCUAUUGGAAUUUGGUUGAUGUCCCCUUCUCCUAUUAUUAACAACAUAUACCUACACGGUUCUGUCUGCUGGUUUGCCAAAUUCUAGACACUUCUUUUGUGGUUCGUGCUUCCGCUUUAUACCAUGCUUGCCUACAUCCGUAGUGUCACUCCUUUAUUCUCUUGAUGUGCUUUUCCUUUACAAGGAAGAAUACACACCAUGAGGAAAAGAGAAGUAAAAUUGUAGCAUAUGGCAACUUUAUAAAUACUAACAUGUUUCUGAUUCAUCAUGAGGUCAUGUACUGAUGGAUUGCAAAAAGAAAAAGAAAAAUAAUGUCAAUUGUUUCUAUAUCACUUUAAUUGGCAUGGUCCAUCUGUAGUGUCGUGCAAUUAUUAGACCACAUUCAAUAUUAUUUUUUGGAUGCCUGCAACUUCCAACUAAAUAGAUCGCUGUAUCUAUAUCUGAUUUGUAUUUGUAGUCUACAAACAAGACAUCCUAAUUAUUUGUUCGAACAUACUACAGUCUUGUUUUCUCUGCCGUGUCUUCUCCUUUUCUUAAUAGUGUCACUGCCUUUGAUUUAUCUGCUCAGAUGUGCUAUUUAGAGUUUGAUCUGGAUAUAUACUAGCUAUUUUAUUAGGAGUUGGUGGUAAAGAUGAACUAAUGGUUGAUCCGCCCUGCUGUCCAUGCUGCACUUCAUGCAAAAUCAUUGGGUCGGUACUGGGAGUACUUCAUUUAUGAUAGAUCUUAUGCUUCAAAGCUUCUUUUUAUUGUCUAAUAUGUUUUAUUUGCACUAAUUUGGUAAAUUUAUUUUAUCUUUUGGCUUAAUAUGUCCCAGGUAUUGAUAUAGUAAUAUUUUUUUACUUGGUUAAUGGCCAAACAUACUGCUUCAGUAUCUUCCGGUAGGUGCCUCAGAAUUAUGCAGUUGAUCAUACCAUACUGCUACUUGAAUAAAAAUGUCUAUCUUUGUGUUCUACACUGAAGCUAUCAUAUGAAGUUUAAUUAUUUUCAGCGUCCAUCACCAAAACUACUUUGUUUGUAGUGAAAGGCUUCAUAGAAUUUCAUAGAUGUUGCACAUCAUGAGAUUAACCUGUAGAUGUAUUCAUAACCAUAUAGUAGAGGGGAAGAUGCAAACACGACAUGUCUUGGCCUCUCAACCUUUUCUGUUAUAUGUCACGUUUCUAUUAAUUAUUUUGCUUGACAUGAUUCUUUCAAUGGUAACUUUGAUUUUCUCUAACAGGUAGGAACAAAAGUAUUUUUAAUGAGCCUAAAAAAUCGUAACACAUGUAGCUCUUGCUACAGUUGUAAGUUGUGAUCCUAAAUUUGAACUUGAUGGUGCUGAAAUUACUAAUGAAUUCUGGGUAGUGCAUGUUGAUAUGGCACUUGUGAGAACUGAAGAUUCGGUACGGAGUCGCAAAAACUGCAAUACUCUUGGUAAUGCAGAUUUGUUUUUGCAUCUCAACCUUUGUAAAUUCAAAAGAUAAAUGGAUGAUUCUAUUGGUGUGUGUGGCAAGUAUACUACAAGGAUGAUGAUGAUGAUGUUCCUGUUCAUGAUGAUGAAGACGGAUGGUUUCAGUUUUAAUUAAGUUGUAGGGAUGAUGUUCCUCGAUUGUGUUUUAGUUACGUUGUAGGGAUGUUUAUGGAUGCUUUCAAUUUAAGUUUCGCCGUCAAGAAACAUUUAGAUUAUACUUCCCAUUUGGAUGAUUUUUCUUGUGUAAUAUGCAGUAUUGUAAUCCAACAGUUUUAUUUAAUAUAUGAUUUCUUCCUCCCGUGA
This is a long non-coding RNA of Triticum aestivum (bread wheat), 3339 nucleotides long. RefSeq lists it as uncharacterized. The transcript is spliced from 2 exons. The record is from RefSeq and is a predicted model, not a curated record. Lineage: Eukaryota; Viridiplantae; Streptophyta; Magnoliopsida; Poales; Poaceae.